CAGCCGCCGCGGGAAUACAGAGGGUGCGAGCGUUAAUCGGAUUUACUGGGCGUAAAGCGUGCGUAGGUGGUGGUUUAAGUCCGUUGUGAAAGCCCUGGGCUCAACCUGGGAAUUGCAGUGGAUACUGGGUCACUAGAGUGUGGUAGAGGAUAGUGGAAUUUCCGGUGUAGCAGUGAAAUGCGUAGAGAUCGGAAGGAACAUCUGUGGCGAAGGCGACUAUCUGGGCCAACACUGACACUGAGGCACGAAAGCGUGGGGAGCAAACAGGAUUAGAGACCCCUGUAGUCCCUGUCUCUUAUAC
Molecule: ribosomal RNA, 301 nt
Filed under: uncultured bacterium
Lineage: Bacteria
Description: partial 16S ribosomal RNA
Rfam family: Bacterial small subunit ribosomal RNA
Source: RNAcentral